AUAGAUACAAGCUAGCGGCGGAUGGGGUGAGUAACGCGUGGGUAACCCUGCCCUUAAGUCUGGGAUUACCAUUUGGAAAACAGAUGCUAAUACCGGAUAAAAAGACUACUUUCGCAUGAAAGAAGUUUUAAAAAAGGACGGCGUAAGCUGUCGCUAAAGGAUGGACCUGCGAUGCAUUAGCUAGUUGGUAAGGUAACGGCUUACCAAGGCGAUGAUGCAUAGCCGAGUUGAGAGACUGAUCGGCCACAUUGGGACUGAGACACGGCCCAAACUCCUACGGGAGGCAGCAGUAGGGAAUUUUCCACAAUGGACGCAAGUCUGAUGGAGCAACGCCGCGUGAGUGAAGAAGGUUUUCGGAUCGUAAAGCUCUGUUGUUGGUGAAGAAGGAUAGAGGUAGUAACUGGCCUUUAUUUGACGGUAAUCAACCAGAAAGUCACGGCUAACUACGUGCCAGCAGCCGCGGUAAAU
This 468-nucleotide ribosomal RNA is filed under the name uncultured Lactobacillus sp. Its description in RNAcentral is "bacterial SSU rRNA". It matches the Rfam family "Bacterial small subunit ribosomal RNA", at positions 81 to 525 of the family's 1533-position model. The record is from RNAcentral. Lineage: Bacteria; Bacillati; Bacillota; Bacilli; Lactobacillales; Lactobacillaceae.